CCCAGACAGCCAGGAUGUUGGCUUAGAAGCAGCCAUCAUUUAAAGAAAGCGUAAUAGCUCACUGGUCGAGUCGGCCUGCGCGGAAGAUGUAACGGGGCUAAACCAUGCACCGAAGCUGCGGCAGCGACACUGUGUGUUGUUGGGUAGGGGAGCGUUCUGUAAGCCUGCGAAGGUGGCCUGUGAGGGUUGCUGGAGGUAUCAGAAGUGCGAAUGCUGACAUAAGUAACGAUAAAGCGGGUGAAAAGCCCGCUCGCCGGAAGACCAAGGGUUCCUGUCCAACGUUAAUCGGGGCAGGGUGAGUCGACCCCUAAGGC
This 314-nucleotide ribosomal RNA is filed under the name Salmonella enterica subsp. enterica serovar Indiana. RNAcentral's name for it is "partial 23S ribosomal RNA". It matches the Rfam family "Bacterial large subunit ribosomal RNA", at positions 1084 to 1397 of the family's 2925-position model. RNAcentral also lists the same sequence under 2 other names. The record is from RNAcentral. Lineage: Bacteria; Pseudomonadati; Pseudomonadota; Gammaproteobacteria; Enterobacterales; Enterobacteriaceae.